CGAGCGAGAGAGAGCUUGCUUUCUCGAGCGAGUGGCGAACGGGUGAGUAACGCGUGAGGAACCUGCCUCAAAGAGGGGGACAACAGUUGGAAACGACUGCUAAUACCGCAUAAGCCCACGACCCGGCAUCGGGUAGAGGGAAAAGGAGCAAUCCGCUUUGAGAUGGCCUCGCGUCCGAUUAGCUAGUUGGUGAGGUAACGGCCCACCAAGGCGACGAUCGGUAGCCGGACUGAGAGGUUGAACGGCCACAUUGGGACUGAGACACGGCCCAGACUCCUACGGGAGGCAGCAGUGGGGAAUAUUGCACAAUGGGGGAAACCCUGAUGCAGCGACGCCGCGUGGAGGAAGAAGGUCUUCGGAUUGUAAACUCCUGUUGUUGAGGAAGAUAAUGACGGUACUCAACAAGGAAGUGACGGCUAACUACGUGCCAGCGGCCGCGGUAAAACGUAGGUCACAAGCGUUGUCCGGAAUUACUGGGUGUAAAGGGAGCGCAGGCGGGAAGGCAAGUUGGAAGUGAAAUCCAUGGGCUCAACCCAUGAACUGCUUUCAAAACUGUUUUUCUUGAGUAGUGCAGAGGUAGGCGGAAUUCCCGGUGUAGCGGUGGAAUGCGUAGAUAUCGGGAGGAACACCAGUGGCGAAGGCGGCCUACUGGGCACCAACUGACGCUGAGGCUCGAAAGUGUGGGUAGCAAACAGG
RNAcentral lists this ribosomal RNA (696 nucleotides) under uncultured Lachnospiraceae bacterium. RNAcentral's name for it is "bacterial SSU rRNA". It matches the Rfam family "Bacterial small subunit ribosomal RNA", at positions 63 to 776 of the family's 1533-position model. The record is from RNAcentral. Lineage: Bacteria; Bacillati; Bacillota; Clostridia; Lachnospirales; Lachnospiraceae.